Molecule: non-coding RNA, 386 nt
Organism: Cyanistes caeruleus (blue tit)
Lineage: Eukaryota; Metazoa; Chordata; Aves; Passeriformes; Paridae
Source: RefSeq, a predicted model, not a curated record
UUAUCACUUGUUUACUCUUUGUCUUAUUCCCCCUCCCAAGAUGUCAUAGAGCAGGGGCUGUGAACUGGAACUUCAGCUGUUUCCUAUCAGGGUGGUCAUUUUGUUCAGCUACACCAACAUGUAACAACUGAGGAUGUCCCUGGGAAGAGAAAGGCACACCCAGAGGUGCAGGCUUAGCCAGAUGUGCAGUUCUGACAGAAGCCAAACACCUGAAUAUCCCAGGCAUUCAAUAUUUAAGAGCAUUUCUGAUGUGAACAGUGGGAUCCUGUGAUCCAGUUGAGACCAGCUCCACAGCCCUGGGGAGACAGGUCAGUCCCACUGGAAGUGACUGGCUUGCCCACUGAACACCUCUAAGCUGCUAAAAUAUUGUGGUCCUGAGAAAUGCU